Molecule: non-coding RNA, 549 nt
Organism: Tupaia belangeri chinensis (Chinese tree shrew)
Lineage: Eukaryota; Metazoa; Chordata; Mammalia; Scandentia; Tupaiidae
Source: the annotation of a RefSeq genome assembly
AUGUGCUCAUGCAAGCGAUUUCUAGAGCAGCAACUUGCUUGUUCCAAGGGCGCUGUUUCCUCACCCAUGUUUCGUCCUGCUCAAGGAAGAUCUUCAAAAAGGAUCCCACAGCGUGUUCACUGCUCAGUCAUGAACUUUGUUCCUGCAGUGGUGCUUAUGAUAUUUUUUCCCCUGUGGGGAACCAGAGCCCAGUCAGUGACCCAGCCUGAUGUCCACGUCGCUGUCCCUGAAGGAGCCCAUCUGGAGCUGAGGUGCAACUAUUCAUCUUCUGUCCCGUCGUAUCUCUUCUGGUACGUGCAGUACCCCAACCAAGGACUCCAGCUCCUUCUGAAGUACUCGUUUGGAAUCAGUCUUGUUACAGGCAUCAAAAAUUUUGAGGCUGAAUUUAGGAAAAGUGAAACCUCCUUCCACCUGAAGAAAACCUCAGCCCAUCUGAGCAACUCUGCUGGGUACUUCUGUACCCUGAGUGACAGUGCUGGCACUGCAGGGGGAGCUGAACACAAACUUCUGGUGACUGUGAGGCUGCUGUGGCUCAAAGGCUCAACCUAG